CGGUUCUUGGUUGAAAGGCAAGGGAUAAUGGUUGUCUCUGAGGAAGACUAGUGCUACAAUAUUCCUCUUAUGGGGCCUAUCUUUACAACAAAUGCAAAAGUAUGACCAAUAAUUGGGCCUUGACAAAUUGUGCAUCUGUGCAAUGAUCAGUGUCAGGUUUCUUGGAAGAAGUUUAGUCCGGGCUAGCUUUCCAUUGUUUGAUUUCUCUAAGUGACCUCUCCCUACCAAGGCCAUUGUUUUCUCAUGUCAGGAAUUCCACAAUAACAUUCUAAAGACCGACAACUUGAGGAAGGGCAAUUUCAUUGGACCUGUUGUUUGUAUUCUAUGCCAUAAGGAUGAUGAAACACAUCAUGUGUUGCUUCAGUGAAAUUUUUCUAAACAAAUCUGGUUUCAUUUUACUGUUUUUGGCACGUGGCAACUACCUGUAUCUGAUAAAUGAAUAAUUAUUACACUUAAUGGAGAGCUACUUCCUUGAAGAAGGAAUGGAGAAAUGGGUCUGAUUUAUUUUGGUGGUUUUAGCAUGGCAGAUGCGGCUGGAGCAUAAUUCUCAAGCUUUUUCUAAUGCUGCUAAGGGUCUUGCAGAGGUGUUGGAUUCCACUUUGCUUCUACUGUCAGAACAGAAGAGUUUGCUUCAGGAGAAAAGGUGCAGCUGCAUCAUGUGUUUUCUACACUAAGUCUAGGGUAUCUAUUCCUGUAUUGGCUUUUGAAGCUUGUUUAUUUUGUUUCUUUCUUCCUUAUCCUAUAUCUGAGCACAUCCCUUGUGCUCUUAUUUAUUAUUUGUUCUUAGUAAUAAAGAUUUGGUCUUUGCGCAUGUCACAUCUCAAAUCUAGAACAUGACAUGGCCGUACUAUCAUGGGGAGUCGCCCAUGAUAACACGAAGCUCACAAAAGAAAAUCUGUAUAAAAAUUAUAAAAUAAUAAAUAUGGUCCAAAAUUUUUUUCCAUUUAUUAAGCAAAGAGGUGCGGGUCUAAAUUAGAUAUUCAAAGCUAUAAACUUAUUAUUUCAUGGUCACAACCUAUUUAUUAUUAGCCUACUACUAGCUUUGAAGCUUAUUAUCUCGAACUUUUUUAGCUUAUCCCUCCUAGAUCCUAGAAGCCUAAUGCAUCUGAAAAGAAUAAAAAAAAGGAUGAGCUUUACAACUCGGUAAGUAAUCAUACA
This 1158-nucleotide long non-coding RNA is filed under the name Elaeis guineensis (African oil palm). RNAcentral describes it as "long non-coding RNA (EGUI_LNC045800)". Lineage: Eukaryota; Viridiplantae; Streptophyta; Magnoliopsida; Arecales; Arecaceae. The record is from RNAcentral.